Non-coding RNA from Picea glauca (white spruce), 116 nucleotides. Lineage: Eukaryota; Viridiplantae; Streptophyta; Pinopsida; Pinales; Pinaceae. The record is from Rfam.
UGUCGUGUGGUCAAGACAGAGUGAACUAUUAUUUCUCCUUUUACUAAAGAAUAGCGUGUCUUGGCCACCAACAACAUAAGACACCUAUUUUCCGAGGCUUCCAUCUCACUGCGAGA